Molecule: long non-coding RNA, 328 nt
Organism: Hippocampus zosterae (dwarf seahorse)
Lineage: Eukaryota; Metazoa; Chordata; Actinopteri; Syngnathiformes; Syngnathidae
Exons: 3
Source: RefSeq, a predicted model, not a curated record
UGACGAAUUCCGGGUCGUGUAGGUUAUCCUGAGUAAAACUGUGAGAGUCGGCUUCGCUGAAGAUCUGCCGGAAGUCAGAUGCCACUUCUGUGAAGUUCUGGAAACACAAAAGAAAGGAUUGCCAUCAAGAGCGACGCUGCAAACAUCCUGGAUGUCGACCGUUCCAUUGUCCACAUUGUGAUCCAAAUUACUGAUUCAUCUCAUAGAAAUGCCGGCUGAGCUCCUUCACCCUGCGAGGAGACGGCAUAGUAUUCAGAAAGGCGCCAACUCGGAAGAUGGAGCUCGCUCAAGUGACGGACAACAUACGUACAUUGUUUGGUAGGUGGAG